AGAGUUUGAUCCUGGCUCAGGACGAACGCUGGCGGCGUGCCUAAUACAUGCAAGUAGAACGCUGAAGGAGGAGCUUGCUUCUCUGGAUGAGUUGCGAACGGGUGAGUAACGCGUAGGUAACCUGCCUGGUAGCGGGGGAUAACUAUUGGAAACGAUAGCUAAUACCGCAUAAGAGUGGAUGUUGCAUGAACUUUGCUUAAAAGGUGCACUUGCAUCACUACCAGAUGGACCUGCGUUGUAUUAGCUAGUUGGUGGGGUAACGGCUCACCAAGGCGACGAUACAUAGCCGACCUGAGAGGGUGAACGGCCACACUGGGACUGAGACACGGCCCAGACUCCUACGGGAGGCAGCAGUAGGGAAUCUUCGGCAAUGGACGGAAGUCUGACCGAGCAACGCCGCGUGAGUGAAGAAGGUUUUCGGAUCGUAAAGCUCUGUUGUAAGAGAAGAACGAGUGUGAGAGUGGAAAGUUCACACUGUGACGGUAUCUUACCAGAAAGGGACGGCUAACUACGUGCCAGCAGCCGCGGUAAUACGUAGGUCCCGAGCGUUGUCCGGAUUUAUUGGGCGUAAAGCGAGCGCAGGCGGUUAGAUAAGUCUGAAGUUAAAGGCUGUGGCUUAACCAUAGUAGGCUUUGGAAACUGUUUAACUUGAGUGCAAGAGGGGAGAGUGGAAUUCCAUGUGUAGCGGUGAAAUGCGUAGAUAUAUGGAGGAACACCGGUGGCGAAAGCGGCUCUCUGGCUUGUAACUGACGCUGAGGCUCGAAAGCGUGGGGAGCAAACAGGAUUAGAUACCCUGGUAGUCCACGCUGUAAACGAUGAGUGCUAGGUGUUAGACCCUUUCCGGGGUUUAGUGCCGUAGCUAACGCAUUAAGCACUCCGCCUGGGGAGUACGACCGCAAGGUUGAAACUCAAAGGAAUUGACGGGGGCCCGCACAAGCGGUGGAGCAUGUGGUUUAAUUCGAAGCAACGCGAAGAACCUUACCAGGUCUUGACAUCCCUCUGACCGCUCUAGAGAUAGAGUUUUCCUUCGGGACAGAGGUGACAGGUGGUGCAUGGUUGUCGUCAGCUCGUGUCGUGAGAUGUUGGGUUCAGUCCCGCAACGAGCGCAACCCCUAUUGUUAGUUGCCAUCAUUUAGUUGGGCACUCUAGCGAGACUGCCGGUAAUAAACCGGAGGAAGGUGGGGAUGACGUCAAAUCAUCAUGCCCCUUAUGACCUGGGCUACACACGUGCUACAAUGGCUGGUACAACGAGUCGCAAGCCGGUGACGGCAAGCUAAUCUCUUAAAGCCAGUCUCAGUUCGGAUUGUAGGCUGCAACUCGCCUACAUGAAGUCGGAAUCGCUAGUAAUCGCGGAUCAGCACGCCGCGGUGAAUACGUUCCCGGGCCUUGUACACACCGCCCGUCACACCACGAGAGUUUGUAACACCCGAAGUCGGUGAGGUAACCGUAAGGAGCCAGCCGCCUAAGGUGGGAUAGAUGAUUGGGGUGAAGUCGUAACAAGGUAGCCGUAUCGGAAGGUGCGGCUGGAUCACCU
This 1534-nucleotide ribosomal RNA is filed under the name Streptococcus pneumoniae. RNAcentral describes it as "bacterial SSU rRNA". It matches the Rfam family "Bacterial small subunit ribosomal RNA". Lineage: Bacteria; Bacillati; Bacillota; Bacilli; Lactobacillales; Streptococcaceae. The record is from RNAcentral.